UUCAAUAUCUGACCUCGAAUCAGGUGGGACUACCCGCUGAACUUAAGCAUAUCAAUAAGCGGAGGAAAAGAAACUAACAAGGAUUCCCCUAGUAACGGCGAGUGAAGCGGGAUGAGCUCAAAUUUAAAAUCUGGCAGUCUUUGGCUGCCCGAGUUGUAUNCUAGAGAAGCGUUUU
This 175-nucleotide ribosomal RNA is filed under the name uncultured fungus. RNAcentral's name for it is "partial 28S ribosomal RNA". It matches the Rfam family "Eukaryotic large subunit ribosomal RNA", at positions 1 to 164 of the family's 3401-position model. The record is from RNAcentral. Lineage: Eukaryota; Fungi.